UGGGGAAUAUUGCACAAUGGGCGCAAGCCUGAUGCAGCCAUGCCGCGUGUAUGAAGAAGGCCUUCGGGUUGUAAAGUACUUUCAGCGGGGAGGAAGGGAGUAAAGUUAAUACCUUUGCUCAUUGACGUUACCCGCAGAAGAAGCACCGGCUAACUCCGUGCCAGCAGCCGCGGUAAUACGGAGGGUGCAAGCGUUAAUCGGAAUUACUGGGCGUAAAGCGCACGCAGGCGGUUUGUUAAGUCAGAUGUGAAAUCCUCGGGCUCAACCUGUGAACUGCAUCUGAUACUGGCAAGCUUGAGUCUCGUAGAGGGGGGUAGAAUUCCAGGUGUAGCGGUGAAAUGCGUAGAGAUCUGGAGGAAUACCGGUGGCGAAGGCAGCCCCCUGGACGAAGACUGACGCUCAGGUGCGAAAGCGUGGGGAGCAAACAGG
RNAcentral lists this ribosomal RNA (429 nucleotides) under Chloroflexota bacterium. RNAcentral describes it as "Chloroflexi bacterium partial 16S ribosomal RNA". It matches the Rfam family "Bacterial small subunit ribosomal RNA", at positions 355 to 776 of the family's 1533-position model. The record is from RNAcentral. Lineage: Bacteria; Bacillati; Chloroflexota.